CCCUUAGAUGUUCUGGGCCGCACGCGUGCUACACUGAGUGGAUCAGCGGGUCAGGUUGCGCGAAAGCGUUUCCUAAUCUUUAAAUCCGCUCGUGAUGGGGAUUGACGGUUGCAAUUUUCUGUCAUGAACGAGGAAUACCUUGUAAGCGCGGGUCAUCAUCCCGCGCUGAAUACGUCCCUGCCCUUUGUUCACACCGCCCGUCGCUCCUACCGAUUGAGUGGUCCGGUGAGGCUUUGGGAUCUGAGCGGAAAGAGCGUUUCGCUGUUUCUGCUCGGAAAACUCAGUCGAACCUUAUCAUUUAGAGGAAGGAGAAGUCGUAACA
This 322-nucleotide ribosomal RNA is filed under the name uncultured eukaryote. RNAcentral describes it as "partial 18S ribosomal RNA". It matches the Rfam family "Eukaryotic small subunit ribosomal RNA", at positions 1470 to 1796 of the family's 1831-position model. The record is from RNAcentral.